RNAcentral lists this ribosomal RNA (1095 nucleotides) under Mimetus banksi. RNAcentral describes it as "eukaryotic LSU rRNA". It matches the Rfam family "Eukaryotic large subunit ribosomal RNA", at positions 81 to 904 of the family's 3401-position model. The record is from RNAcentral. Lineage: Eukaryota; Metazoa; Arthropoda; Arachnida; Araneae; Mimetidae. RNAcentral also lists the same sequence under 1 other name.
UAGUAACGGCGAGCGAACAGGGAAGAGUCCAGCGCCGAAUCCCGCGCCCCUCCGGGGUGUCGGGAAAUGUGGCGUUUGGGAGUGAGCGUGCCGGUGGUCGGCCCCGCAGCAAGUCCCCCUGACCGGGGCUCUUUCCCAGAGUGGGUGCGAGGCCCAUAGCUGCGGGACCUCUGCCGGAUGCGAGCUCCUCGGAGUCGGGUUGCUUGGGAGUGCAGCCCUAAUCGGGUGGUAAACUCCACCUAAGACUAAAUACGGCCGUGAGACCGAUAGCAAACAAGUACCGUGAGGGAAAGUUGCAAAGAACUUUGAAGAGAGAGUUCAAGAGUACGUGAAACUGCUCAGAGGAAAACGGGUGGGCCCUCGAAGUCCUGCGGUGGGAGGAUUCAGUCGGCCGCGGCGAGCGGAGUGGACGGCAGAGUGGCUUCCCGAGACGGGACCCCUCCGACCGCCCGUGGCGCUGCCGGCCGACGCAAUUGUUUCCCACCCGAAGGACGCCGCGACCGGUUGGUGGAACGGCCUUAAGGGCGGACGAAGGCAGGUAGCCGGAGGCUUCCCCGCGUGGUUGCUGCCGGUUGUUAGCCUGUCCGCCGUGCGGCACGUGACCCGACCGUGGUGUCGCUAGGCCCUCAUGGGCCCCUGCGCCUCCUGCCCUCGACUUGGGCCCCGGAAGAGCGCGGCAGUGGUUCCCGGAACAAGCCCCCGUCGCACCGACCCGCUCGGUGGGCUGAGGAUCCGGAGCCUCGGUGGCCGCGCCGCGUCCGGAGUUGGGACGGCUGGCGGUUUGCGGCGAGUAGAUCGGUCACCCACCCGACCCGUCUUGAAACACGGACCAAGGAGUCUAACAUGUGCGCGAGUCGACGGGUCUCGAAGAAGCCCGGAGGCGCAAUGAAAGCGAAGGCCCUUCACGGCCAAGUCGAGAUCCUCUCCCCUCGAGGGAGCAGGCGCACCGGCGACCCGCCCGUGCGGAUUCAUCCGCUGGGCGGAGUUUGAGCGCACACGUUGGGACCCGAAAGAUGGCGAACUAUGCUCGGGCAGGACGAAGCCAGAGGAAACUCUGGUGGAGGUCCGCAGCGGUUCUGACGUGCAAAUCGAUCG